CAUCCUUGUGCCUGGCCCCAGCUCCGGCAAGAAGCCAGAGCAGAGUGCAAUCAAAGUGGGCCCUCACCUGGGACUCCUUGAGCGGAUUCAGGGCUGGUGCCAUUGUGUGUCAGUUGUAAGCGUCUUUGAGAAUCCUGCAGAGAAACCAGGUCAGGAGCCAGGAAGACAGUUCAAACGCAGAAGCCAAGGCAAGAGGGGAAACCAAAGUCAGAGUCAAGCAAAGCCAAGGUCACCGCCAAGGAGUCUGUCAAGCAGAGCAGAAAGCUGGGAGCAGCAUCAAGCUAGCAAAAGUCAGAAAGUUUUGAGCCAAGGAAAAUGCCAAAUGACUUAAAUGAGCAUGUCAGAGAGGAAGACUCCCAGAUCUCAAGACCUGGACUCGUUUGUCCAGACAGGAGGAGCUCAGAAGGAGAGUUCUGCCUUUGAAAAAUGACCAGAGGGCUUUCUGAAGUGGGUUACAUCGAAGUCUGGACAACGCGUUCAGAAGAGAAGUCCAUGGCAGGCAUCUGCAACCUGGUUUGUUUCUUGCCUCUUCUGCCUAGAGAGGGGGUGAAAAAUAUUCCAUGAGUGUGGAGGGUCUAGGAAAGGCAUUCCCCUCUCCAACAUUCCCCAAGAAGAUUAAAGCUCCGUUGUUCUCUUGCCAAUUUUAGCCCAUUAAGCUAGCUAAUCACAAGGAAAGGCCAUUAUUAGCUGAACAACACACUGUAAAUAAUUAAUGCAAAAAGCAGGAUUGCAUCCCUGGAGAGGCAUCCUGGGCUUCAGCCAUCAGGGAUAGCCCUGGUCCGGGGAGCCCUUCAAAGAGGGAGGGAGGGAGGGAGUGAAAAGGAGGGGUUUUCUCCAUAGGCAAUGCUAGUCACCUCCUUGGUGUGGAAAAGGAAGACAGUGGGAAGAAGCUAGUCCUCCUUCUCCUGAACAGAAAAUGAAAGUCUUGAUAUGCAAGUGAAGGGGGCAGCAGUGGAUCACUUGAGAAGGUGUUCACUGCCUGAGGUGAAGAGCAUGAGGGCUGUAUGGAAGCUGACUGGCCCUGACAGUUGAAUACCACCAUCCUCUAUGACACCCUGAAGGCAGUAGGUUAGUUUAAGAAAUCAGAGUGGAUGCUAAAUGUCCCACACAACCCAACAGACAGGGGAUCAGGAGGAACAGGCUAGGGGGUACUGUUGCGUGGCACCCCACUUCCCUGCAUCUCCUGGCUGAGAUUGUUGCCCUAUUUAGCUUCAUGACGGGUCCAGAACUAAGCAGACACAAAAGCCCUAUGGGCACAGGUCAAGAUAGCUCUAAUGCUGGGGAUCAGUGUUUCCAGCCUCAACACACUCUGGAUGUGCAAAGUACAUUAACCUUCAAUGUUCCCUAGGAAUCUAUAUAGUUGGGGGAAGGUAACAUUCUGGCAGAGUCCGCCUGCAUUUCCCACAAGCCCUGUUUAGCAAAGGUAAUCCAUAUGUUUUCACUUUGAAAGCGUCUGCCCUCACUAGUUGAAAAGAUCCAAACACAUCAAGCUGCCUUAAACUGAAACAGAUCAUUGCUCGCUCCAUGCAGCUGAAUACUGACUCUGUUUUUUUGAAAUCUCAAGCUGGGUUUUUUCUGCUACUUUUAAUGGAAAAUUCUGCAGAUUGAAUUUUGGAAAUUUCUCAAAGCUUGGAAGUACUGUAACUAGUUGUUUGUAUAAAAAGGUUCUUAUUAAUCUUGUUUUGCAGUUACUAAAACACAGUUAUGUUCUAAUACUAUUGUAACAUAUCAAGGGAUAAUGUAACUUCCUUCACUGUGUUACUGUAUGUUUUUAGUUAUUUUCAUAGUGAACAAAAGUGUGUAGUCUCA
Molecule: long non-coding RNA, 1809 nt
Organism: Anolis carolinensis (green anole)
Lineage: Eukaryota; Metazoa; Chordata; Lepidosauria; Squamata; Anolidae
Exons: 3
Source: RefSeq, a predicted model, not a curated record